GGCAUACAAGAGAUGAAAUUUCAAGCUUAAGAGAGAAUUCAGGCAAUUGAUUAAUUGGGAGAAUUCUCUUUUCGUGAUGGAAAUGAUAAGAGAGAAGCUGAAAGCCAAAUAUCAAAUAUUUGGACCAAAUGAUCUCUUACAGUGAGCAAUAGCUGCCUGGAUAGAGUUAUCAGUGACAGCCGAAGAUGAAAUUUUAUAGGUUUCAG
This 206-nucleotide unclassified non-coding RNA is filed under the name Hevea brasiliensis (rubber tree). Lineage: Eukaryota; Viridiplantae; Streptophyta; Magnoliopsida; Malpighiales; Euphorbiaceae. The record is from RNAcentral.